AAGAGUUGAAAAACUCCCAAAACCACUGUGGACCUUACCAUUAUCGUUGCUUCGGCGGUGAACGGGUUUAGGUUGCCCUCCUCCUCUUUCGAGAGGGGGGGCGCCAACCGACCAGCGAGCCGCCGAAGGUCACCUAAACUUUGUAUUUAUGUAGUGCAUCUCUGAGCAUAAAAGAAAACAAGUCA
This 185-nucleotide unclassified non-coding RNA is filed under the name uncultured Sordariales. RNAcentral's name for it is "sequence contains ITS1". Lineage: Eukaryota; Fungi; Ascomycota; Sordariomycetes; Sordariales. The record is from RNAcentral.